RNAcentral lists this long non-coding RNA (4011 nucleotides) under Oryza sativa (Asian cultivated rice). RNAcentral's name for it is "long non-coding RNA (OSAT_LNC000622)". The record is from RNAcentral. Lineage: Eukaryota; Viridiplantae; Streptophyta; Magnoliopsida; Poales; Poaceae.
AAUCGUAUCUUCUUUGCAAACAAUGUAAGUCAGGAGUGAUUAGCAAGUCUAAAUACCACAACGCCUCCCUUUCUGUUCUUGGCAGAUCUUCUUAUCCUGUUUAAGGUUAUCGUGAGUAAUUUAACAUCUUGUAAGUGCAUAGUUUAAACGAUAGUGAAUGACUAUAUUAUAUUUAAUUAAUCAUCGAUCAUAUACUUAGUAAAAAGUUCUGCAAUUAAGCUCCUAAACUACAUGCAGAACAUCCAAAGUGAAGUAGUAAUAGGGAGCAACAGUUUCUGUGAAAUCACGAACACCAAAAUUAAUGACUAGACACAAAUGGAAAGUUUGUGGCAACUGCAAGAGUGCAUCAGAUGCAUCUAUUAUGCCAAUAAUUAAGAGAAUGAAGUCUGUGAUGCAAAGUGAGGACUUCUCUAGUUCUGGAAUCUGGAUAUUAAUUCCUACAGUUUUAUCUUCCAUUGGAUGCAGUCUUACCUUCCCAGCCAAAUGCCAGAAGCACUGAGGCCAUACCGUGAAGACGAGCUGAGGUACCUCAGAGGGGAGGACAGGCAAGGGCCGUAUCAAGAGCAUGACCGCAUCUACCGGUACGAUGUUUACAAUGACCUCGGUGAACCAGACAGGGACAACCCACGCCCUGUCCUAGGUGGCUCGCAGAAGCACCCCUACCCGCGUCGUGGCCGUACUGGCCGAAUUCCGACCAAAAAAGGUACAGUGUUCCUCUUGGUUCUGUGCAUCUAGAGAGCACUUCUUGACAGACAAGUUCAUAAACUAGUAAGAUCUAAUUUGCGUGAAUAUCCAUGGCUGCAGACCCAAACUCGGAGAGCAGAUUAUCACUGCUGGAACAAAUUUACGUGCCAAGCGAUGAGCGCUUCGCGCACCUCAAGAUGUCAGACUUUGCUGGGUACUCGAUCAAGGCAAUUGUUCAGGGCAUCUUGCCUGCCAUUCGCACAUAUGUUGAUCUCACACCUGGUGAAUUUGACUCGUUCGAGGACAUCUUGAAGCUCUACAGGGGAGGCCUGAAGCUUCCCAGCAUCCCAGCACUAGAGGAGCUGCGCAAGAGCUUCCCUGUCCAACUUAUCAAGGACCUGCUUCCGGUUGGAGGCAGCUACCUGCUCAAGUUCCCCAAACCUGAUAUCAUCAAAGGUACCAUGAUUUAGCCAUUGUGUCAAUUGCCAUAGUCGAUGAGCAGUGGACAAUUAGCGAACUGUUGUACUAUGCAUUGUUGCAGAGAACGAGGUUGCUUGGAGGACAGAUGAGGAAUUUGCACGAGAGAUUCUUGCUGGUCUGAAUCCCAUGGUCAUCAGGCGUCUCACGGUGAACUAUCCAACAUUACAUAGUCUUUGAUGUUUUGUGCUCCUAGCAAGCAUGAACAAAACAAGCUGAUGCUAAUGUAUAAUUCUCUGUUCAUAGGAAUUCCCACCAAAAAGUACUCUUGAUCCUAGCAAGUACGGUGACCAGACUAGCACAAUCACCCCAGCUCACAUUGAGAAGAACCUCGAAGGCCUCAGCGUGCAACAGGUUAGGCAGUGAUCCAUUUCAUUUACAGUGCAAUCGAUAGUCAUUUGACAAACUGCCAAAGUUGAUUUGUUGUCAAUUAUGGCUCUGCACAGGCACUGGAUAGCAACAGGCUCUACAUUCUGGAUCAUCAUGAUCAUUUCAUGCCAUUCCUCAUUGACAUUAACAGCCUUGAUGGUAUCUUCACCUAUGCCACAAGGACCCUGUUGUUCUUACGUGAUGAUGAUACCCUGAAGCCACUAGCAAUUGAACUGAGCUUGCCACACAUCGAGGGCAACCUAACAUCUGCAAAGAGCAAGGUCCAUACACCUGCAUCAAGUGGCAUUGAGUCUUGGGUGUGGCAGCUGGCCAAGGCUUAUGUUGCUGUUAAUGACUCCGGUUGGCACCAGCUUAUCAGCCACUGGUACGUACUGGCAGUGGCAAACUGUAGUUCUUUCCUGAAAGCAGUAAGCUAACCUCAUCAUUGAUGUAAACUCUUGUAGGCUCAACACACAUGCUGUGAUGGAGCCCUUCGUGAUCGCUACAAACCGCCAGCUCAGUGUGACACACCCUGUGUACAAGCUCCUCCAGCCACACUAUCGCGACACGAUGACAAUCAAUGCAUUGGCACGCCAGACACUCAUCAACGGCGGUGGCAUUUUCGAACAAACUGUCUUUCCUGGCAAACAUGCUCUGGCAAUGUCUUCAGCAGUUUACAAGAACUGGAACUUCACGGAACAGGGCCUUCCGGAUGAUCUAAUAAAGAGGUAAUUAAACACCGAGAGCCACAUCACAACAAGAACCAACAAUAACAUAACUUUGAAUAACAUCCUAAUUUUGUAAUGCAGAGGCAUUGCCAUCAAGGACCCAUCAAGCCCAUCCAAGGUGAAGCUACUGAUCAAGGACUACCCUUAUGCAACAGAUGGCCUGGCGAUCUGGCAAGCAAUCGAGCAGUGGGUCACUGAGUACUGUGCCAUCUACUACCCAAACGAUGGUGUCCUCCAGGGAGAUGUGGAGCUGCAAGCAUGGUGGAAGGAGGUGCGGGAAGUCGGGCAUGGUGAUCUCAAGGACGCGGACUGGUGGCCCAAGAUGCAGAGCUUGCCUGAGCUCACCAAGGCCUGCACCACAAUCAUCUGGAUUGCAUCAGCACUCCACGCAGCCGUCAAUUUCGGGCAGUACCCAUACGCGGGCUAUCUUCCAAACCGUCCGACCAUAAGCCGGCGGCCGAUGCCCGAGCCGGGUUCCAAGGAGUACACAGAGCUGGACGAGAACCCAGAGAAGUUCUUCAUCCGCACCAUCACCAGCCAAUUCCAAACCAUUCUCGGUGUCUCGCUCAUUGAGAUUCUAUCAAAGCACUCAGCGGAUGAGAUCUAUCUUGGGCAGCGUGACACGCCAGAGUGGACAUCAGACCCCAAGGCACUGGAAGCAUUCAAGAGGUUCAGCAGGCAGCUGGUGGAGAUUGAGAGCAAAGUGUUGAACAUGAACAAGGACCCCCUGCUCAAGAACCGGGUCGGUCCAGCCAAUUUCCCCUACACACUGAUGUUCCCCAACACGUCAGACAAUAAGGGGGCGGCUGAGGGGAUCACUGCCAGGGGCAUCCCCAAUAGCAUCUCAAUAUGAGACUGCUGCACGCGUCACGCGCUGCUGAGUUGGUGUAGGUUUGUGGCUGUUAUCUUAGGCCCUAGGGCACAAGCAAUGAAGCUGCAUAGUACUAUUUGCUACAAAUUAUGCAAGAAUAAAGUUUUAGUGCUAAUAAUAAAGUUACUGUUGUAGUGUUUGUCCCAUUUUUAAGCAGCUUCACAUAGCAAGCUCAAAUGAAGAGGCAAUGCUGCAAUAUGGAUGAUUAAUUAUGCAGCUUUACUCCUAUGAUGUUAGGGAGGCAGCUUCUGUGGUCAAAUUUGCAGCAAUAAAAUUCUUCAAAUUUCCUCAAAUGUAAUGAUUAUAUCUCAUUCAGUCACAGAUCGAUUCUUACUUGUAAAUCUAGCAUAACCAGUAGCGGAAUCAGAAAUUAACCACAAGGCAGGAAAACAAGGGCUACGAAGUGAUUUGAUUGCCAAUUUGCCAUACAGCUAUAUAUCGCGCGCGCCUAAUUAGUUCCAUGGCAACCCGCAUCGACAUUUUGCUCUUUUGCUCACAUAGGUUGUAGCAUUCAGCAAAACACCACCUUCGACACAUGUCAGAAGCUCUUACUAGACAACAACACGGUCACUAUCCAUCGCAUUGCGCACAAAUCCAUCUAGUCUACGUGCAAGCAGAGAGAGCAUCUAACUACGUGGACAUUGCAAAAUUUAAAGGGGAUGAGAGGGGAGGGGAAGGGAAGGAGUGGGGAGAUACUGAACCUGGGGAAGCAGAGAAGAGGGAGCCGCCGUCGUCUCGGUCCACGGCGGCGAGGGCACACCGGUGGUCGACACGCUCAAGCCCCCCACGAAACCGCCAUAUCGCCGCCGCCGGCCGGCGCCGCCGCGGGGUCAUCGGAGCCGGAGGAACCGAUUUGUCUCCCGAUCGAACUGGGCUUUGUAU